GGCUCCAUGUCCCUCUAACCAUCGGGUCCUAAUGGCUCCAUGUCCCUCUAACCAUCGGGUCCUAAUGGCUCCAUGUCCCUCUAACCAUCGGGUCCUAAUGGCUCCAUGUCCCUCUAACCAUCGGGUCCUAAUGGCUCCAUGUCCCUCUAACCAUCAGGUCCUAAUGGCUCCAUGUCCCUCUAACCAUCGGGUCCUAAUGGCUCCAUGUCCCUCUAACCAUCAGGUCCUAAUGGCUCCAUGUCCCUCUAACCAUCAGGUCCUAAUGGCUCCAUGUCCCUCUAACCAUCAGGUCCUAAUGGCUCCAUGUCCCC
This is a long non-coding RNA of Oncorhynchus keta (chum salmon), 311 nucleotides long. RefSeq lists it as uncharacterized. The transcript is spliced from 3 exons. The record is from RefSeq and is a predicted model, not a curated record. NCBI's taxonomy places the organism in Eukaryota, Metazoa, Chordata, Actinopteri, Salmoniformes, Salmonidae.